GACGAACGCUGGCGGCGUGCUUAACACAUGCAAGUCGAACGGAAAGGCCCCCUUGUGGGGUACUCGAGUGGCGAACGGGUGAGUAACACGUGAGUAACCUACCCUUGACUUUGGGAUAACUUCAGGAAACUGGGGCUAAUACCGGAUAGGAGCUCCUGCUGCAUGGUGGGGGUUGGAAAGUUUCGGCGGUUGGGGAUGGACUCGCGGCUUAUCAGCUUGUUGGUGGGGUAGUGGCUCACCAAGGCUUUGACGGGAAGCCGGCCUGAGAGGGUGACCGGCCACAUUGGGACUGAGAUACGGCCCAGACUCCUACGGGAGGCAGCAGUGGGGAAUAUUGCACAAUGGGCGGAAGCCUGAUGCAGCAACGCCGCGUGCGGGAUGACGGCCUUCGGGUUGUAAACCGCUUUCGCCUGUGACGAAGCGUGAGUGACGGUAAUGGGUAAAGAAGCACCGGCUAACUACGUG
This 465-nucleotide ribosomal RNA is filed under the name uncultured bacterium. Its description in RNAcentral is "partial 16S ribosomal RNA". It matches the Rfam family "Bacterial small subunit ribosomal RNA", at positions 28 to 507 of the family's 1533-position model. The record is from RNAcentral.